This 762-nucleotide ribosomal RNA is filed under the name uncultured bacterium. RNAcentral describes it as "bacterial SSU rRNA". It matches the Rfam family "Bacterial small subunit ribosomal RNA", at positions 68 to 800 of the family's 1533-position model. The record is from RNAcentral.
GAUUGAUGGUGCUUGCACCUGAUUGACGAUGGAUCACCAGUGAGUGGCGGACGGGUGAGUAACACGUAGGUAACCUGCCCCGGAGCGGGGGAUAACAUUUGGAAACAGAUGCUAAUACCGCAUAACAACAAAAGCUGCAUGGCUUUUGUUUGAAAGAUGGCUUUGGCUAUCACUCUGGGAUGGACCUGCGGUGCAUUAGCUAGUUGGUAAGGUAACGGCUUACCAAGGCGAUGAUGCAUAGCCGAGUUGAGAGACUGAUCGGCCACAAUGGAACUGAGACACGGUCCAUACUCCUACGGGAGGCAGCAGUAGGGAAUCCUCCACAAUGGGCGCAAGCCUGAUGGAGCAACACCGCGUGAGUGAAGAAGGGUUUCGGCUCGUAAAGCUCUGUUGUUGGAGAAGAACGUGCGUGAGAGUAACUGUUCACGCAGUGACGGUAUCCAACCAGAAAGUCACGGCUAACUACGUGCCAGCAGCCGCGGUAAUACGUAGGUGGCAAGCGUUAUCCGGAUUUAUUGGGCGUAAAGCGAGCGCAGGCGGUUGCUUAGGUCUGAUGUGAAAGCCUUCGGCUUAACCGAAGAAGUGCAUCGGAAACCGGGCGACUUGAGUGCAGAAGAGGACAGUGGAACUCCAUGUGUAGCGGUGGAAUGCGUAGAUAUAUGGAAGAACACCAGUGGCGAAGGCGGCUGUCUGGUCUGCAACUGACGCUGAGGCUCGAAAGCAUGGGUAGCGAACAGGAUUAGAUACCCUGGUAGUCCAUGC